CCAGUCUGCAUGGAGCCGACCUUGAAAUACCACCCUUUAAUGUUUGAUGUUCUAACGUGGACCCGUAAUCCGGGUUGCGGACAGUGUCUGGUGGGUAGUUUGACUGGGGCGGUCUCCUCCUAAAGAGUAACGGAGGAGCACGAAGGUUGGCUAAUCCUGGUCGGACAUCAGGAGGUUAGUGCAAUGGCAUAAGCCAGCUUGACUGCGAGCGUGACGGCGCGAGCAGGUGCGAAAGCAGGUCAUAGUGAUCCGGUGGUUCUGAAUGGAAGGGCCAUCGCUCAACGGAUAAAAGGUACUCCGGGGAUAACAGGCUGAUACCGCCCAAGAGUUCAUAUCGACGGCGGUGUUUGGCACCUCGAUGUCGGCUCAUCACAUCCUGGGGCUGAAGUAGGUCCCAAGGGUAUGGCUGUUCGCCAUUUAAAGUGGUACGCGAGCUGGGUUUAGAACGUCGUGAGACAGUUCGGUCCCUAUCUGCCGUGGGCGCUGGAGAACUGAGGGGGGCUGCUCCUAGUACGAGAGGACCGGAGUGGACGCAUCACUGGUGUUCGGGUUGUCAUGCCAAUGGCACUGCCCGGUAGCUAAAUGCGGAAGAGAUAAGUGCUGAAAGCAUCUAAGCACGAAACUUGCCCCGA
This 632-nucleotide ribosomal RNA is filed under the name Salmonella enterica. RNAcentral's name for it is "partial 23S ribosomal RNA". It matches the Rfam family "Bacterial large subunit ribosomal RNA", at positions 2171 to 2802 of the family's 2925-position model. RNAcentral also lists the same sequence under 3 other names. The record is from RNAcentral. Lineage: Bacteria; Pseudomonadati; Pseudomonadota; Gammaproteobacteria; Enterobacterales; Enterobacteriaceae.